Solanum verrucosum is the source of this 480-nucleotide long non-coding RNA. RefSeq lists it as uncharacterized. The record is from RefSeq and is a predicted model, not a curated record. The transcript has 2 exons. Lineage: Eukaryota; Viridiplantae; Streptophyta; Magnoliopsida; Solanales; Solanaceae.
AAAAGUUGAAAUCGCCGGGAUUUGUUCGAUCACAAUUCACACAGCCAAUUGAAUAGCGCGCCUUCUGUGUCUGCAAUGAAAGUAGCGAAAGAGAUCCAGUUAAGGUGUUUACAGUGGUGGAGUAUUGAUGGAUAAGUGAUGCUAUUGUUCCGGAGUAGUAGUUCUUCUUAAUCAGCAGAAACGGAAUCCUCCAUGGAUAUUUCUUUUUCUCUUGGAUUCUAAAUUCUUGUUUUAUUCCUUACUUGAAGUGUGCACUUAUUGAUCGCUUGUGUGCCGCACCUUGCCUGAAGUGUGGUAGGCGCCAUUCUGUUCUUUGCAUUGCCUCAGGACCUGAAUAUUGCCUUUGUUUUCAUUAGAGGCAUGAAAUGCUCAAAGUGUAAUGUUCUUAAAUUUGAUUUGUCCUAGCUCCUAUAUUUAACAAACUAUAUGUUGUAUUUUGUUUGACAGAUAUAAUAGGUGUUAUACAUCAAAUUAUAUGCA